Molecule: long non-coding RNA, 314 nt
Organism: Orcinus orca (killer whale)
Lineage: Eukaryota; Metazoa; Chordata; Mammalia; Artiodactyla; Delphinidae
Exons: 3
Source: RefSeq, a predicted model, not a curated record
UCGGUUCCCAAGGUUCCCUUCAUGUUAAAAUUCUGAUUCUAUCAAAAGUGAGAUGGUGGAUGAGAGAGCCCUUUGAGGAGGAUGGAGUCUCACAGAAAUGAAAAGCUGAGUCUUGGGUGGCCGUUCUACAGAAUUCACCCACUCUCUACAUAGAGGGGCCUAGUCCAGAAAGUCCAGCCCGGUCCUAAGACUUCCUUGGUCCAAAGAUGGUCAAAGAAUCCAGUGUUUACCGAGGUCUCUCAUCCCCACCAGACGAAGCGCGAGACCAGCGUUCCCGGGGCACGUUCCCUCAACCAGGCGAGCCGCCAGAGCAC